ACAUUACAGAGUUCAUGCCCGAAAGGGUAGACCUCCCACCCUUGUGUAUUAUUACUUUGUUGCUUUGGCGAGCUGCCUUCGGGCCUUGUAUGCUCGCCAGAGAAUACCAAAACUCUUUUUAUUAAUGUCGUCUGAGUACUAUAUAAUAGUUAAAACUUUCAACAACGGAUCUCUUGGUUCUGGCAUCGAUGAAGAACGCAGCGAAAUGCGAUAAGUAAUGUGAAUUGCAGAAUUCAGUGAAUCAUCGAAUCUUUGAACGCACAUUGCGCCCCUUGGUAUUCCGGGGGGCAUGCCUGUUCGAGCGUCAUUUCAACCCUCAAGCUUAGCUUGGUAUUGAGUCUAUGUCAGUAAUGGCAGGCUCUAAAAUCAGUGGCGGCGCCGCUGGGUCCUGAACGUAGUAAUAUCUCUCGUUACAGGUUCUCGGUGUGCUUCUGCCAAAACCCAAAUUUUUCUAUGGUUGACCUCGGAUCAGGUAGGGAUACCCGCUG
Molecule: ribosomal RNA, 488 nt
Filed under: Botrytis cinerea
Lineage: Eukaryota; Fungi; Ascomycota; Leotiomycetes; Helotiales; Sclerotiniaceae
Description: eukaryotic LSU rRNA
Rfam family: 5.8S ribosomal RNA (bases 154-307)
Source: RNAcentral